UGGGGAAUUUUGGACAAUGGGCGAAAGCCUGAUCCAGCAAUGCCGCGUGUGUGAAGAAGGCCUUCGGGUUGUAAAGCACUUUUGUCCGGAAAGAAAUCCUUGGAUCAAUACAGUCGGGGGAUGACGGUACCGGAAGAAUAAGCACCGGCUAACUACGUGCCAGCAGCCGCGGUAAUACGUAGGGUGCAAGCGUUAAUCGGAAUUACUGGGCGUAAAGCGUGCGCAGGCGGUUGCUAAGACCGAUGUGAAAUCCCCGGGCUCAACCUGGGAACUGCAUUGGUGACUGGCAGGCUAGAGUAUGGCAGAGGGGGGUAGAAUUCCACGUGUAGCAGUGAAAUGCGUAGAGAUGUGGAGGAAUACCGAUGGCGAAGGCAGCCCCCUGGGCCAAUACUGACGCUCAUGCACGAAAAGCGUGGGGAGCAAAACAGGAUUAGAUACCCUGGUAGUCCACGCCCUAAAACGAUGUCAACUAGUUGUUGGGGGAUUCAUUUCCUUAGUAACGUAGCUAACGCGUGAAGUUGACCGCCUGGGGAGUACGGUCGCAAGAUUAAAACUCAAAUGAAUUG
Molecule: ribosomal RNA, 566 nt
Filed under: uncultured bacterium
Lineage: Bacteria
Description: partial 16S ribosomal RNA
Rfam family: Bacterial small subunit ribosomal RNA
Source: RNAcentral